CUUAUGCUUCAGAGCUAUUAGCUGCCUUCUUCCCCAGUUACGUUAGGUGAGUAGAUGCUGUACAUUUUUACUGAAACAGAGUGCUGAGAACAGUGAGGUGUCAACGACAUGACUAGGGGAGACAUAGGUAGGAAGAACUUAGGCACUGUUUCCAAAACAAAAAUCUGUCAUAUUUUGUCAUUUUACUAAGACAUAAUUUGCUUGUGUAUGGAGUGCUGGAGGUGAGAGAUGAAUCACCUGGGUGUUGAGUGAGUUUCAACAGCUUUAAAAUCCUCAGUUAAAAGGUCCUUAUACGACAUAGUGCUGCUUCCAAGUAGACGAUUGUGAGGGAAGGAUAGGGUUCUUCAGAGGAAUCCUUUAGAAUGUGGAAGUCUACAACCAGCAGUGCAGGUCACCAGAAACCUUCGAGACCAACAGAGCCAUCUUCCAUGAUUGGUUACCUCAGGUUCUUCCUAGAUGCCGUUUUUCCAAGAAUUGAUACACACCCAUUGAAGAUAAUUUUUUUUUGCUUUGUUUUGCCUUGAAAAAUUUAAUCCAUGUUCGGUUGAGUCUGCAGAUGGAGGGCCCUUGCUUGGAUGCAGAAGUCUCGUUGUAUAUUGUUUUUUGUAGUUAAUAGAAACAGUUUUCUUAAAAUUUUUGUAACUAUAUCCUUUAAAAUAACUUUUGGUAGUUUCUUAGAAGAUCUUAACAGUGGCGGUUUACAGAAACCUCACAAUAGCAGUUAGAGAGGGAGGCCAUGCUUUCCCCACACACCUUGGAAAGAAAACAAGCCAAAGACCAGCAUGGCAACCUAGUCGUUAUUAUGUAACGAUAACGCAAGAAAGUAGGGACACAGUCCAGAGACCUCUGUUGACUGUUCUUUGCCUUACUUUUCAUUUUAGAGUUACAGAAACCAAAAUAAUUAAAGACCUAACAAAGGAAGAGAAAUAAUUUAAAAAUGACAUUUAGCAACAAAAAGAUUUUUUUAAAUAUGCAGGAAAAUGGACCAUUACAAGUAGGGAAAAUAGCUCUCUUCAUCUCAGAUGACAGUUGGUAAUGUUCAAGUCAUGAAUUUGCUCCUUAAAGGCCAUGCUGCUUAAUAAUAUAAAAAAGAAGGUAAAAGCUUGGAAAUAAAGUAUUUAUUAUUUUA
Molecule: non-coding RNA, 1129 nt
Organism: Rattus norvegicus (Norway rat)
Lineage: Eukaryota; Metazoa; Chordata; Mammalia; Rodentia; Muridae
Source: RefSeq, a predicted model, not a curated record